This 551-nucleotide ribosomal RNA is filed under the name uncultured bacterium. RNAcentral's name for it is "partial 16S ribosomal RNA". It matches the Rfam family "Bacterial small subunit ribosomal RNA", at positions 355 to 898 of the family's 1533-position model. The record is from RNAcentral.
UAGGGAAUCUUCCACAAUGGACGCAAGUCUGAUGGAGCAACGCCGCGUGAGUGAAGAAGGUCUUCGGAUCGUAAAGCUCUGUUGUUGGUGAAGAGGAUAGAGGCAGUAAAUGGUCUUUAUUUGACGGUAAUCAACCAGAAAGUCACGGCUAACUACGUGCCAGCAGCCGCGGUAAUACGUAGGUGGCAAGCGUUGUCCGGAUUUAUUGGGCGUAAAGCGAGCGCAGGCGGAAUGAUAAGUCUGAUGUGAAAGCCCACGGCUCAACCGUGGAACUGCAUCGGAAACUGUCAUUCUUGAGUGCAGAAGAGGAGAGUGGAACUCCAUGUGUAGCGGUGGAAUGCGUAGAUAUAUGGAAGAACACCAGUGGCGAAGGCGGCUCUCUGGUCUGCAACUGACGCUGAGGCUCGAAAGCAUGGGUAGCGAACAGGAUUAGAUACCCUGGUAGUCCAUGCCGUAAACGAUGAGCGCUAGGUGUUGGGGACUUUCCGGUCCUCAGUGCCGCAGCAAACGCAUUAAGCGCUCCGCCUGGGGAGUACGACCGCAAGGUUGAA